UUAGAGUUUGAUCCUGGCUCAGGAUGAACGCUAGCGGCAGGCUUAACACAUGCAAGUCGAGGGGCAGCAUGUCCAGCAAUGGAUGAUGGCGACCGGCGGAAGGGUGCGUAACGCGUGAGCAACAUGCCCUAUACAGGGAGAUACACCAGGGAAACUUGGUCUAAUAUCCCAUAGCAUUCAUUGAAGGCAUCUUUAAUGAAUUAGAGCUUCGGUGGUAUAGGAUUGGCUCGCGUGACAUUAGCCAGAUGGUGAGGUAACGGCUCACCAUAGCAAUGAUGUCUAGGGGUUUUGAGAGGAAGGCCCCCCACACUGGGACUGAGACACGGCCCAGACUCCUACGGGAGGCAGCAGUGAGGAAUAUUGGACAAUGGAUGGAAAUCUGAUCCAGCCAUGCCGCGUGCAGGAAGACGGCCUUAUGGGUUGUAAACUGCUUUUAUACGGGAGCAAUAAGGGUUACGAGUAAUCCGAUGAGAGUACUGUAUGAAUAAGGAUCGGCUAACUCCGUGCCAGCAGCCGCGGUAAUACGGAGGAUCCGAGCGUUAUCCGGAAUUAUUGGGUUUAAAGGGUGCGUAGGCGGCCAUUUAAGUCAGCGGUGAAAUUUUGCAGCUUAACUGUAACAGUGCCGUUGAUACUGUUUGGCUAGGAUUUGGUUGUAGUGUGCGGAAUGUGUGGUGUAGCGGUGAAAUGCUUAGAUAUCACACAGAACACCGAUUGCGAAGGCAGCACACUAAGUCAUUAUUGACGCUGAGGCACGAAAGUGUGGGGAUCAAACAGGAUUAGAUACCCUGGUAGUCCACACCGUAAACGAUGAUAACUCGCUGUCGGCGAUACACAGUCGGUGGCCAAGCGAAAGCGUUAAGUUAUCCUCCUGGGGGGUGCGCCCGCCCGGUUGGGGCUCUCCGGAGUUGGCGGGGGCCCGCCCCCGCGGCGGGGCGUGUGGUUUGUUUCGUUGGUGCGCGGGGGGCCUUCCCUGGGCUCGUUCGCGCCCGGGGGGGCGCGGGGGCGUGCCCGCCCGCGCCGGCCCGGUUGCGGCGGUGCUGCGUGGUUGUCGUCUGCUCGUGCCGUGGGGUGUCGGGUUGGGUCCCCCCCCGCGCGCGCCCCCUCCUGCUUGUUGCCCGCGCGUCGUGGCGGGGGCUCUUGCGGGGCUGCCGGCGU
Molecule: ribosomal RNA, 1155 nt
Filed under: uncultured bacterium
Lineage: Bacteria
Description: bacterial SSU rRNA
Rfam family: Bacterial small subunit ribosomal RNA
Source: RNAcentral